UACGAAUGGGGCAAGCGUUGUUCGGAAUCAUUGGGCGUAAAGCGCGUGUAGGCGGCUUGGUAAGUCGAGUGUGAAAGCCCGGGGCUCAACCCCGGAAGGUCGCUCGAAACUGCCUCGCUCGAGUCCCGGAGAGGAAGGCGGAAUUCCCGGUGUAGAGGUGAAAUUCGUAGAUAUCGGGAGGAACACCAGCGGCGAAGGCGGCCUUCUGGACGGUGACUGACGCUGAGACGCGAAAGCGUGGGGAGCAAACAGG
Molecule: ribosomal RNA, 253 nt
Filed under: uncultured bacterium
Lineage: Bacteria
Description: partial 16S ribosomal RNA
Rfam family: Bacterial small subunit ribosomal RNA
Source: RNAcentral